Chanos chanos (milkfish) is the source of this 135-nucleotide small nucleolar RNA. RefSeq annotates it as small nucleolar RNA SNORA13. The record is from RefSeq and is a predicted model, not a curated record. Lineage: Eukaryota; Metazoa; Chordata; Actinopteri; Gonorynchiformes; Chanidae. The transcript has a single exon.
UGCCUUUAUGUGUUGCCCAUUCAUUUGUGUUUCCAGAAUGAAUGUGGUGUCAGAAAAGGCAUACAGCAAUUCUUUAUGGUGAUCUGUCAGCGGCCCUCUGAACGAGCCCGCUGUGGAUGCUCUAUAAAAACAUCA